GUACGCUUUUUCUUUCACCGGAGCUUGCUCCACCGAAAGAAAAGGAGUGGCGAACGGGUGAGUAACACGUGGGUAACCUGCCCAUCAGAAGGGGAUAACACUUGGAAACAGGUGCUAAUACCGUAUAACAAUCGAAACCGCAUGGUUUUGAUUUGAAAGGCGCUUUCGGGUGUCGCUGAUGGAUGGACCCGCGGUGCAUUAGCUAGUUGGUGAGGUAACGGCUCACCAAGGCCACGAUGCAUAGCCGACCUGAGAGGGUGAUCGGCCACAUUGGGACUGAGACACGGCCCAAACUCCUACGGGAGGCAGCAGUAGGGAAUCUUCGGCAAUGGACGAAAGUCUGACCGAGCAACGCCGCGUGAGUGAAGAAGGUUUUCGGAUCGUAAAACUCUGUUGUUAGAGAAGAACAAGGAUGAGAGUAACUGUUCAUCCCUUGACGGUAUCUAACCAGAAAGCCACGGCUAACUACGUGCCAGCAGCCGCGGUAAUACGUAGGUGGCAAGCGUUGUCCGGAUUUAUUGGGCGUAAAGCGAGCGCAGGCGGUUUCUUAAGUCUGAUGUGAAAGCCCCCGGCUCAACCGGGGAGGGUCAUUGGAAACUGGGAGACUUGAGUGCAGAAGAGGAGAGUGGAAUUCCAUGUGUAGCGGUGAAAUGCGUAGAUAUAUGGAGGAACACCAGUGGCGAAGGCGACUCUCUGGUCUGUAACUGACGCUGAGGCUCGAAAGCGUGGGGAGCAAACAGGAUUAGAUACCCUGGUAGUCCACGCCGUAAACGAUGAGUGCUAAGUGUUGGAGGGUUUCCGCCCUUCAGUGCUGCAGCUAACGCAUUAAGCACUCCGCCUGGGGAGUACGACCGCAAGGUUGAAACUCAAAGGAAUUGACGGGGGCCCGCACAAGCGGUGGAGCAUGUGGUUUAAUUCGAAGCAACGCGAAGAACCUUACCAGGUCUUGACAUCCUUUGACCACUCUAGAGAUAGAGCUUCCCUUCGGGGCAAAGUGACAGUGUGCAUGUGUCGU
This 1015-nucleotide ribosomal RNA is filed under the name unidentified. Its description in RNAcentral is "bacterial SSU rRNA". It matches the Rfam family "Bacterial small subunit ribosomal RNA", at positions 64 to 1055 of the family's 1533-position model. The record is from RNAcentral.